CAAAUAUUAAUAGGGCUUUCAGUAUCCAAUACCCAGAUCAUUGUAUCAAAAGGAGAGAAGUUACAAGGUGUUAUCACAUAAGUACCUUGUCCAACAACUGAUUGCUUUUUUUUUUUUUGCUUGUUCAGGUCAAAGAAAGCUAUAUACUGAGGAUAAUUCUUCUUUCAGUGACCUUGCUUCUUACAAAAGCACUCUGUCUGACU
Molecule: long non-coding RNA, 203 nt
Filed under: Elaeis guineensis (African oil palm)
Lineage: Eukaryota; Viridiplantae; Streptophyta; Magnoliopsida; Arecales; Arecaceae
Description: long non-coding RNA (EGUI_LNC036897)
Source: RNAcentral